Molecule: unclassified non-coding RNA, 266 nt
Filed under: Hevea brasiliensis (rubber tree)
Lineage: Eukaryota; Viridiplantae; Streptophyta; Magnoliopsida; Malpighiales; Euphorbiaceae
Source: RNAcentral
AAGCCCAUCCAUUGAUCCAUGUUUAUGACUUUGUAAUCAUUCUGAAUCUUAAGGUACUCAAUGAAAUAAUCAACUUGGGCUCGGAAGUGAGAUCCUAAAACAAGAUCCAGUAACUGACAGAUGCUCUCUAUGUCUAUACUCUUUUGUUUCUCCUCUGUUAAGCAAUACCGGAAUGAAUAGGAAUAGAAAUCCACAAAGUUCGAUGGCCUCUUGACCUCCUUCUCUAACUCCGGAAGAGCCUUCUUUAAUUUAUUUACAGUAUCAGC